CCGCGUGAGUGAUGAAGGCCUAGGGUUGUAAAGCUCUUUGUGCGGGAAGAUAAUGACGGUACCGCAAGAAAUAAGCCCCGGCUAAACUUCGUGC
This 94-nucleotide ribosomal RNA is filed under the name uncultured bacterium. RNAcentral describes it as "partial 16S ribosomal RNA". The record is from RNAcentral.